Pleuronectes platessa (European plaice) is the source of this 396-nucleotide long non-coding RNA. RefSeq lists it as uncharacterized. The record is from RefSeq and is a predicted model, not a curated record. The transcript is spliced from 3 exons. Lineage: Eukaryota; Metazoa; Chordata; Actinopteri; Pleuronectiformes; Pleuronectidae.
UGAAGAAACAAGUCCUUCACACAACAGCGUGAGUACGGUGAGAGACCAGAAGACAGAGCGCAGAUUCCAGCUGCGGCACACACACGACCAGCAGAGCAGCACCAUGAGGUCCACUACGCCAGCGUCUGCUUCACCCAGAACCGGGCAGAUGACCUCUACGCCAACAUAGGUAGAGUUCAACCCCAGAGAGAAACUGAGGAAGAGGAGGAGGAGGCUGAAUACAGUGCUGUUCGAUUUGACAGUGCAACAGGAACAAGACGUGAAGAAGAGGGGGACGAUUCAUCUGCAGUGUACAGCACAGUCACCAAACACUGAAGAAACACAACGUGAAUCUGUUGUUUAUAUGUGGAUUUUACAUUAUCACGGAACCAGGAGAAAUAAAACAUAUAGACAUGU